GUGCCAGCAGCCGCGGUAAUACGUAGGGGGCAAGCGUUGUCCGGAUUUAUUGGGCGUAAAGAGCGUGUAGGCGGUUUUACAGGUCCGCUGUGAAAACUCGAGGCUCAACCUCGAGCUGUCGGUGGAAACCGUAAGGCUAGAGUCCGGAAGAGGAGAGUGGAAUUCCUGGUGUAGCGGUGAAAUGCGCAGAUAUCAGGAAGAACACCCGUGGCGAAGGCGGCUCUCUGGGACGGUACUGACGCUGAGACGCGAAAGCGUGGGGAGCGAACAGGAUUAGAAACCCGAGUAGUCC
Molecule: ribosomal RNA, 292 nt
Filed under: uncultured bacterium
Lineage: Bacteria
Description: partial 16S ribosomal RNA
Rfam family: Bacterial small subunit ribosomal RNA
Source: RNAcentral